UAUUAAAAAAUUCACUCAUUUCUAUUGUUAAAAGCGGACAUAACUAACAAAAUAAUUAAAUAGUGACAUGUGACAUUCCAUGUGUACCUCAUGUUGACGUACAUGAACUAAUUUUUAACAAUAGAAAUGAAUGAAACUUUUAAUA
This is a non-coding RNA of Gossypium raimondii (Peruvian cotton), 145 nucleotides long. NCBI's taxonomy places the organism in Eukaryota, Viridiplantae, Streptophyta, Magnoliopsida, Malvales, Malvaceae. The record is from Rfam.